This 76-nucleotide transfer RNA is filed under the name Kouleothrix aurantiaca. RNAcentral describes it as "tRNA-Phe". It matches the Rfam family "tRNA". Rfam says of the family: Transfer RNA (tRNA) molecules are approximately 80 nucleotides in length. Their secondary structure includes four short double-helical elements and three loops (D, anti-codon, and T loops). RNAcentral also lists the same sequence under 4 other names. The record is from RNAcentral. Lineage: Bacteria; Bacillati; Chloroflexota; Chloroflexia; Chloroflexales; Roseiflexaceae.
GCCAGGGUAGCUCAGUUGGUAGAGCGCAUGUCUGAAAAACAUGAGGUCACGGGAUCGUCCCCCGUCCCUGGCACCA